This 393-nucleotide ribosomal RNA is filed under the name uncultured bacterium. RNAcentral describes it as "partial 16S ribosomal RNA". It matches the Rfam family "Bacterial small subunit ribosomal RNA", at positions 523 to 918 of the family's 1533-position model. The record is from RNAcentral.
AUACGGAGGAUGCGAGCGUUAUCCGGAUUUAUUGGGUUUAAAGGGUGCGUAGGCGGCCUUGUAAGUCAGCGGUGAAACUUUGCAGCUUAACUGUAAAAGUGCCGUUGAUACUGUGAGGCUAGGAUUUGGUUGCUGUGGGUGGAAUGUGUGGUGUAGCGGUGAAAUGCUUAGAGAUCACACAGAAUAUCGAUUGCGAAGGCAGCUCACAAAGCCAAGAUUGACGCUGAGGCACGAAAGUGUGGGGAUCAAACAGGAUUAGAUACCCUGGUAGUCCACACUGUAAACGAUGAUAACUCGCUGUCGGCGAUAUACAGUCGGUGGCCAAGCGAAAGCGAUAAGUUAUCCACCUGGGGAGUACGACCGCAAGGUUGAAACUCAAAGGAAUUGACGGGG